Molecule: unclassified non-coding RNA, 1438 nt
Filed under: Hevea brasiliensis (rubber tree)
Lineage: Eukaryota; Viridiplantae; Streptophyta; Magnoliopsida; Malpighiales; Euphorbiaceae
Source: RNAcentral
UAAUCCAUGUGAGUUUUUUUUUUAAAGAAACUGAGAUUGAUGGCUAGUCUGUGAUAUAUUUUAGAGUAUGGCUUGCUAAUGUUAAUGUGGUGCUUGACUUUCCCUUUUACUUACCCACAUUUCAUGGGAAAUGCUCAUUGAGGCACUUGGUGAAGUCUAGAGAACCCAAUGCAGUCACCUAUAUGAUCUGGCAGGAGUUCUUGCUUCUUAUGGAGUCGUAUAAGAUGCAGGGUUUGCUGCCAUAAUCUAAUGCGUGUUUAAAUGUGUCAUAUCCACACGCAGUCAUAAAGUAAAUUCGCAUGUCUCUGUGAUGCAGAUAUGAAUUUAUGAUCUAUAACUUGAGAAACCAGUCAUGGGCAUAAGUUCUGAAUUCUGAAUUUUGCGUACAGUGUGCUUUGCAUGCUUUUUGAGUAUUGUAUAUGUGCUUUCUGGUUGUUGGUGUGGUAACAAGUCCUACGCAAGGUUACCAAUUUGGUGGGGUUUUGUUUGAGAAAAGAAAUCAUGGAGCAGGUUCUACUAUAUUGGAAUUAGUGUUAGUUGAGUUCUUUUGAGUUGCAUUAUAAUACUGUCUUCCGAAGAAGUUUGCUGUGUUACCUGGUGAAAGAUCAAGAAAUCUUUGAGAUAAUAAAAGCAGCAGCAAUAUCAUAGGGAGAACUUGGCCAUAUAUAUGUGUCAUCACAUGCAAUUAAGAAUAUGAAGUAUUGGAAAUUCAUAACUUGGAUCAAAAUAGCAUAUAGAUGCGGAUAAAUGCUUUUAACUAGUAAACUCAGCUGAAUCUUCCUGAGAAUGCAGCAAAACUAAGAAGACAAUUACUUGCUGAUGUAUUUUUGUUGCAACUUGUUUUCAGAUUAUGUUAAGUCUUGUUUGCAAUCAUUUGAGGCAAGAUGAAUUGCUACAUCUAUGCAGCAAGAGAUGAUGAGUGUUGUCUAGGAAUGCAUUCUGCUUGCAGAUAUGUAUAUUGUAAUUGACCUUUAUUUUCAACUUUAAACAUUAUUUUCCCGCUAACUUGAUGCAUGUUUAAUUUGUAGUAUUACAUUUUUCAGAGUAGCGAGCUUGACAUUAGCACUGUGGAAUAUUGAGGGUGGUCCUCAAAAUACAGCCAACUGAACAUGUGAAUAAACAUUAGUUCCUCAUUAAAAAUCACCGAUUUAAUGCAAUAAUUUUAAGGCUUAAAAUUAUCCAAAGUAUCACCUGGUUGUCAUUUUAGUGUUGUGUGAACCUUAUAUAUGCUGGUCUUUUCACUGUGUGUAUCAGAUAAUAUUUUUUUACAAGGUUUGAAUGUUUUAAGAUUAUGGUGGAAAUGUUUAGAAUUUGUUGAUAUUAGUUGGCAGCUGCCAUGAUAAACAGUCAGCUUUCUUUCUUCAUGAACCAGUUAAAGCACCAUAAUUUACCAAAAAUAUUUUUAUAAAUUUUCAGGCUUAAGCUUAAUUGCUGGGCG